This 424-nucleotide ribosomal RNA is filed under the name uncultured bacterium. RNAcentral's name for it is "partial 16S ribosomal RNA". It matches the Rfam family "Bacterial small subunit ribosomal RNA", at positions 360 to 776 of the family's 1533-position model. The record is from RNAcentral.
AAUAUUGGACAAUGGGGUGAACCCUGAUCCAGCCAUGGCGCGUGUGUGGAGCAGGUCUUCGGAUUGUAAAGCACUUUAUGUUGGGAGGAAGAGUUGUAGGCUAUUACCUUGCAAUUUUGACGUUAUCAUCAGAAUAAGCCCCGGCUCACUUCGUGCCAGCCGCCGCGGUAAUUCGAAGGGUGCAAGCGUUAAUCGGAAUUACUGGGCGUAAAGCGCGCGUAGGUGGUUCGUUAAGUUGGAACAGAAAGCACCGGGCUUAACCUGGGAAUUGCGUUCAAAACUGACGAGCGAGAGUACGGUAGAGGGUAGUGGAAUUUCCUGUGUAGCGGUGAAAUGCGUAGAUAUAGGAAGGAACAUCAGUGGCGAAGGCGACUACCUGGACUGAUACUGACACUGAGGUGCGAAAGCGUGGGGAGCAAACAGG